CGCGUAGGCGGCCUGAUAAGUAGGGGGUGAAAUCCUGCGGCUUAACCGCAGGGCUGCCUUCUAAACUGUCGGGCUUGAGCACAGUAGAGGCAGGUGGAAUUCCCGGUGUAGCGGUGGAAUGCGUAGAGAUCGGGAAGAACAUCAGUGGCGAAGGCGGCCUGCUGGGCUGUUGCUGACGCUGAGGCGCGACAGCGUGGGGAGCAAACA
This 207-nucleotide ribosomal RNA is filed under the name uncultured bacterium. RNAcentral's name for it is "partial 16S ribosomal RNA". It matches the Rfam family "Bacterial small subunit ribosomal RNA", at positions 568 to 774 of the family's 1533-position model. The record is from RNAcentral.